GACGAACGCUGGCGGCGUGCUUAACGCAUGCCAGUCGAACGGAGAGGCCCUGCUUUUGUGGGGUGCUCGAGUGGCGAACGGGUGAGUAACACGUGAGUAACCUGCCCUUGACUUUGGGAUAACUUCAGGAAACUGGGGCUAAUACCGGAUAGGAGCUCCUGCUGCAUGGUGGGGGUUGGAAAGUUUCGGCGGUUGGGGAUGGACUCGCGGCUUAUCAGCUUGUUGGUGGGGUAGUGGCUUACCAAGGCUUUGACGGGUAGCCGGCCUGAGAGGGUGACCGGCCACAUUGGGACUGAGAUACGGCCCAGACUCCUACGGGAGGCAGCAGUGGGGAAUAUUGCACAAUGGGCGGAAGCCUGAUGCAGCAACGCCGCGUGCGGGAUGACGGCCUUCGGGUUGUAAACCGCUUUCGCCUGUGACGAAGCGUGAGUGACGGUAAUGGGUAAAGAAGCACCGGCUAACUACGUG
This 468-nucleotide ribosomal RNA is filed under the name uncultured bacterium. RNAcentral's name for it is "partial 16S ribosomal RNA". It matches the Rfam family "Bacterial small subunit ribosomal RNA", at positions 28 to 507 of the family's 1533-position model. The record is from RNAcentral.